CCCUACGGGGGGCAGCAGUGGGGAAUAUUGCACAAUGGGGGAAACCCUGAUGCAGCGACGCCGCGUGAGCGAAGAAGUAUUUCGGUAUGUAAAGCUCUAUCAGCAGGGAAGAAAAUGACGGUACCUGACUAAGAAGCCCCGGCUAACUACGCGCCCGCAGCCGCGGCAAUACGUAUGGGGCAAGCGUUAUCCGGAUUUACUGGGUGUAAAGGGAGCGUAGGCGGCCUGGCAAGCCUGAUGUG
This 242-nucleotide ribosomal RNA is filed under the name uncultured bacterium. Its description in RNAcentral is "partial 16S ribosomal RNA". It matches the Rfam family "Bacterial small subunit ribosomal RNA", at positions 337 to 596 of the family's 1533-position model. The record is from RNAcentral.